AUGAACGCUGGCGGCGUGCCUCAUACAUGCCAGUCGAGCGAACAGACGAGGAGCUUGCUCCUCUGACGUUAGCGGCGGACGGGUGAGUAACACGUGGAUAACCUACCUAUAGGACUGGGAUAACUUCGGGAAACCGGAGCUAAUACCGGAUAAUAUAUUGAACCGCAUGGUUCAAUAGUGAAAGACGGUUUUGCUGUCACUUAUAGAUGGAUCCGCGCCGCAUUAGCUAGUUGGUAAGGUAACGGCUUACCAAGGCAACGAUGCGUAGCCGACCUGAGAGGGUGAUCGGCCACACUGGAACUGAGACACGGUCCAGACUCCUACGGGAGGCAGCAGUAGGGAAUCUUCCGCAAUGGGCGAAAGCCUGACGGAGCAACGCCGCGUGAGUGAUGAAGGUCUUCGGAUCGUAAAACUCUGUUAUUAGGGAAGAACAAAUGUGUAAGUAACUAUGCACGUCUUGACGGUACCUAAUCAGAAAGCCACGGCUAACUACGUG
Molecule: ribosomal RNA, 496 nt
Filed under: uncultured bacterium
Lineage: Bacteria
Description: partial 16S ribosomal RNA
Rfam family: Bacterial small subunit ribosomal RNA
Source: RNAcentral